GUCAGUCAGAAAGACAUCCUGUACAUACCACUAAUACAACAUAACUGUAACACACACAGAAAGACAGGUCAAAAAGAGGAGGUGAGUCAGUCAGAAAGACAUCCUGUACAUACCACUAAUACAACAUAACUGUAACACACACAGAAAGACAGGUCAAAAAGAGACAGUGAGUCAGUCAGAAAGACAUCCUGUACAUACCACUAAUACAACAUAACUGUAACACACACAGAAAGACAGGUCAAAAAGAGGAGGUGAGUCAGUUAGAAAGACAUCCUGUACAUACCACUAAUACAACAUAACUGUAACACACACAGAAAGACAGGUCAAAAAGAGACAGUGAGUCAGUCAGAAAGACUUCCUGUACAUACCACUAAUACAACAUAACUGUAACACACACAGAAAGACAGGUCAAAAAGAGACAGUGAGUCAGUCAGAAAGACUUCCUGUACAUACCACUAAUACAACAUAACUGUAACACACACAGAAAGACAGGUCAAAAAGAGACAGUGAGUCAGUCAGAAAGACUUCCUGUACAUACCACUAAUACAACAUAACUGUAACACACACAGAAAGACAGGUCAAAAAGAGACAGUGAGUCAGUCAGAAAGACUUCCUGUACCUCAUCAGUCAAAGCCAUUGGACUAAGAGACGUUCUCAUCAGAGAAGAUGGACUCCACUCACUCACCUCACCAAUAUAUUGGUUACGUCCCAAAUGGCACUCUAUUCUCUUCAUAGUGCACUACUGUUGAACAGGUCCCGUAGGGCUCCCCUGAUGGUAAAAAGUAGUGCACUAUGUAGGGAUUUGGGUGCCAUUUGGGACAUAACCAUAGUCUGUGUGAGUACUGAGUACUUGCCUACAAUGGCAGAUAUUACAGCCUCCUAAUGGCAGCUGUCAAGAGAGAGGGCUAAUGAGACUUAAAUCACACAGGAUUUAUUAAUAUCGUCUUCUGGUUAAAGGGGUAGUCCACCCAAUUUUCAUAAAUCAUUAUAUUUAGUAAUAUACACUGCUCAAAAAAAUAAAGGGAACACUAAAAUAACACAUGAAUGAAUGAAAUAUUCUUAUUACAUUUUUCUUUACAUAGUUGAAUGUGCUGACAACAAAAUCACACAAAUUAUCAUUGGAAAUCAAAUUUAUCAACCCAUGGAGGUCUGGAUUUGGAGUCACACUCAAAAUUAAAGUGGAAAACCACACUACAGGCUGAUCCAACUUUGAUGUAAUGUCCUUAAAACAAGUCAAAAUGAGGCUCAGUAGUGUGUGUGGCAUCCACGUGCCUGUAUGACCUCCUGAGGGAUCUCCUCCCAGACCUGGACUAAAGCAUCCGCCAACUCCUGGACAGUCUGUGGUGCAACGUGGCUUUGGUGAAUGGAGCGAGACAUGAUGUCCCAGAUGUGCUCAAUUGGAUUCAGGUCUGGGGAACGGGCGGGCCAGUCCAUAGCAUCAAUGCCUUCCUCUUGCAGGAACUGCUGACACACUCCAGCCACAUGAGGUCUAGCAUUGUCUUGCAUUAGGAGGAACCCAGGGCCAACCGCACCAGCAUAUGGUCUCACAAGGGGACUGAGGAUCUCAUCUCGGUACCUAAUGGCAGUCAGGCUACCUCUUGCGAGCACAUGAAGGGCUGUACGGCCCCCAAAGAAAUGCCACCCCACACCAUGACUGACCCACCGCCAAACCGGUCAUGCUGGAGGAUGUUGCAGGCAGCAGAACAUUCUCCACGGCGUCUCCAGACUGUCACAUGUGCUCAGUGUGAACCUGCUUUCAUCUGUGAAGAGCACAGGGCGCCAGUGGCAAAUUGGCCAAUCUUGGUGUUCUCUGGCAAAUGCCAAACGUCUUGCACGGUGUUGGGCUGUAAGCACAACCCCCACCUGUGGACGUCGGGCCCUCAUACCACCCUCAUGGAGACUGUUUCUGACCGUUUGAGCAGACACAUGCACAUUUGUGGCUUGCUGGAGGUCAUUUUGCAGGGCUCUGGCAGUGCUCCUCCUGCUCCUCCUUGCACAAAGGCAGAGGUAGCGGUCCUGCUGCUGGGUUGUUGCCCUCCGACGGCCUCCUCCACAUCUCCUGAUGUACUGGCCUAGGUAGUGCAGCUCAUCCAGGAUGGAACAUCAAUGCGAGCUUUAGCAAGAAGGUUUGCUGUGUCUGUCAGCGUAGUGUCCAGAGCAUGGAGGCGCUACCAGGAGACAGGCCAGUACAUGUGGUUAUCACCUGCAGAACCCCUCCUUUAUUGGGGGUGUCUUGCUAAUUGCCUAUAAUUUCCACCUGUUGUCUAUUCCAUUUGCACAACAGCAUGUGAAAUUUAUUGUCAAUUAGUGUUGCUUCCUAAGUGGACAGUUUGAUUUCACAGAAGUGUGAUUGACUUGGAGUUACAUUGUGUUGUUUAAGUGUUCCCUUUAUUUUUUUGAGCAGUGUAUGAUCGUAAUAUUACCGUUAUAUUUUGUAAUGUGUAUCUUACCUUAGAAGUGGUCUAGAGACCAGUACUGUGACAGUAUCUACGCUAAGUCUUUCAUUUCAUGGGCAUUUGCGUUGAAACAUUGAAACUCAAUGGUCAAUGCUAACCGUUAGCCUGUGCUGCCUCUGGCAAAGACAUGUAAGGGUCAUCGUAGAUGCUGUCACUCCUGCACUCUUAACUGCCUCGGACAUGACAAAUAUUAACAACUUAAGAAAAUAGAGUGACCUAUCCCUUUAAUGCAGUAAACACUAAUGUAUCUCAAUGAAGGAAGCAAUCAAUCAUCUAUUGCUGAUUACAAAUUAUCUAUAGGGAUAGGUCACUAUUUUCUUAAGUUGUUCAUAUUUGUCAUGUCAGAGGCAUCACAGUAGUGACCAUGAUGUAUCGCUAAUGUAUCUCAUCUACAGCUCGUCAAAACCCCUGGGCCAGUCCUGCAUUCCAUAAGAGCUGCAUUCCAUAAGAGCUGCAUUCCAUAAGAGCUGCAUUCCAAUUCAGAAAGUAAACCAUAUUCCAAAUGUUCCCCAUUGAAAAUAAUUGGAAUUUUCGUGUACUUACUGAAUUGACUGGAAUUGAAAUGGAAUUGCCCCAACCAAGUCACAAGCAAAGUCUGGAGUAGAACAGUUCGUCUCUGCAUUCUAAGUGCAUGUUGAGUCAAGUUUGUUCAAGUCAAGUAAAAUAUAUAUAUUAUAUAUAUAUAUACAUACAUACAUA
Long non-coding RNA from Oncorhynchus keta (chum salmon), 3155 nucleotides. RefSeq lists it as uncharacterized. The record is from RefSeq and is a predicted model, not a curated record. NCBI's taxonomy places the organism in Eukaryota, Metazoa, Chordata, Actinopteri, Salmoniformes, Salmonidae. The transcript is spliced from 3 exons.